CAAGCUUGUUCCCUCCUCAAUAUGACAUCCCUUCAAAUAUACAUUUUAUAUAUUUUAUAAUUACCAAAGGAGACUCCUGGAGACAGAAAUUCAGACUCAGUGAAGAAAACUGAAGAGGAAAAAAAUCUUCCCCAGAAGUAAUCAAGCACACCAAUUAGAAGUUUGGUUUGAGGAUCCCUCUGAAUCCAUACCCACCAACAUUUCACAGAUGAAAACUGGCACAAACCUUCCCAAGCAACAUCAGAAUCUGAGUAUCAUGGCAAAAGUGAUUGACAACAAAGAACAGACGAGCUGAGAGAGACUGCAUCUAUUUGCCUUCAUUUACUUUUGAACUUUGGACUCAGUUUGCAGAAACGGAAGUUAGAAGAGGACAAAAGGGGAAAGUAGGUGGAGGAAUGAGAAAUUGGGACAUUUUAAAACAACUGAAAAGUGAUAUGCCAGAGGAUUAAUUUGGACUGUUGCUGCCAAAUUGAUACAAUUGGAAGGCAUGAAAAUCAAAGCACCGCAUAUUUUAUAAUGUUGAGCAUAACCCAAUGCUUCUAUUCUGCAAAACCGGAUGACCUCUUUUAUGUUGGUGGUGUCGAAUUAGACAGAAUUACAUUAGGAAUGAAAAUAUUCCUAUCCCAGCCUUUGCAACUAUUGAUUCUUCUCUGUUCAUUAACUUGCCUCUAUGUUGCAAUCGGGUGUUCAGUUUGUAAUGAUGUAAUGGCUGUGUGUCAUCAUGUAAUUACUGAUAGCAUUUGAAAAGUUUCUAUCUAUAUGUGUGAAAAGAG
Long non-coding RNA from Sceloporus undulatus (fence lizard), 773 nucleotides. RefSeq lists it as uncharacterized. The transcript has 3 exons. The record is from RefSeq and is a predicted model, not a curated record. Lineage: Eukaryota; Metazoa; Chordata; Lepidosauria; Squamata; Phrynosomatidae.